GACGCGGGCGAGCUGCGGCUCGGACGCCAGCGGACACGCGGGCGAGAUGUUUGAAGUGAGGCCAGGCAUGUUGGCUCACGCCUGUAAUCCCAGCACUUUGGGAGGCCAAGGUGGGAGAAUCACUUGAGGCCAGGAGUUGGAGACCAGCCUGGGCAACAUAGCAAGACUGCAUCUCUACCAAAAAAAAGAAAAGAUGCUUGAAGUGAAUGUAUACUCAUUUCCUAGUUGUUUCUUUCUGUAAGGAUGUCUGACCCAGCUAAUUUGUAAACAGGAAUUCUGCAUUCAUUUCUGUCUUUGCAUUCUCAACCCCAGUUGGGCACACAAGUG
RNAcentral lists this long non-coding RNA (327 nucleotides) under Pan troglodytes (chimpanzee). RNAcentral's name for it is "long non-coding RNA NONPTRT015673". Lineage: Eukaryota; Metazoa; Chordata; Mammalia; Primates; Hominidae. The record is from RNAcentral.